UACGAGAGGCGCAAACGUUAUUCGGAAUUACUGGGCUUAAAGAGUUCGUAGGCGGCGCAGCAAGUAGGGUGUGAAAGCCCUCGGCUCAACCGAGGAAUUGCGCUCUAAACUACUGUGCUUGAGGGACCUAGAGGUGAGCGGAACUGAUGGUGGAGCGGUGAAAUGCGUUGAUAUCAUCAGGAACACCGGAGGCGAAGGCGGCUCACUGGGGGUCUUCUGACGCUGAGGAACGAAAGCCAGGGGAGCGAACGGG
RNAcentral lists this ribosomal RNA (253 nucleotides) under uncultured bacterium. Its description in RNAcentral is "partial 16S ribosomal RNA". It matches the Rfam family "Bacterial small subunit ribosomal RNA", at positions 524 to 776 of the family's 1533-position model. The record is from RNAcentral.